GCCCCGGUGGUGUAGCCCGGUUAGCAUGCGGGACUGUCAAUCCCGCGACGCGGGUUCAAAUCCCGCCCGGGGCGCCA
RNAcentral lists this transfer RNA (77 nucleotides) under Candidatus Bathyarchaeota archaeon. Its description in RNAcentral is "tRNA-Asp". It matches the Rfam family "tRNA". From Rfam's summary of the family: Transfer RNA (tRNA) molecules are approximately 80 nucleotides in length. The record is from RNAcentral. RNAcentral also lists the same sequence under 1 other name. Lineage: Archaea; Thermoproteati; Candidatus Bathyarchaeota.